Molecule: small nuclear RNA, 317 nt
Filed under: Octodon degus (degu)
Lineage: Eukaryota; Metazoa; Chordata; Mammalia; Rodentia; Octodontidae
Description: 7SK RNA (ENSODEG00000023088.1)
Rfam family: 7SK RNA
About the family: 7SK was discovered as an abundant small nuclear RNA in the mid-70s but a possible function has only recently been suggested.
Source: Rfam by way of RNAcentral
GGAUGUGAGGGCGACCUGGCUGUGACGUCUGUCACCCCACUGAUCGCCAGGGUUGAUUCGGCUGAUCUGGCUGGCUAGGUAGGUGUCCCCUCCCCCGCUCAAUGCCCCGUGUGUGUCCCUCCCAAGCUGCGAGCUCGGUCGAAGAGGACGACCACCCCCGAGAGAGGGGGACCGUUCCUCGGUCAAGGGUAUACGAGUAGCUGUACUCCCCUGCUAGAACCUCCAAACAAGCUCUCAGAAAUUCCAUACCAAAUACUAGGAAAUUAGCAAUGGUUAACAUACUGCAUAUGUUGUCUUUGAAUUACAAGACAUAGGCA